RNAcentral lists this ribosomal RNA (493 nucleotides) under uncultured bacterium. Its description in RNAcentral is "partial 16S ribosomal RNA". It matches the Rfam family "Bacterial small subunit ribosomal RNA", at positions 30 to 523 of the family's 1533-position model. The record is from RNAcentral.
AUUGAACGCUGGCGGCAUGCCUUACACAUGCAAGUCGAACGGUAACAGGUUAAGCUGACGAGUGGCGAACGGGUGAGUAACACAUCGGAACGUGCCCAAUCGUGGGGGAUAACGUAGCGAAAGCUACGCUAAUACCGCAUACGAUCUACGGAUGAAAGCGGGGGAUCGCAAGACCUCGCGCGAAUGGAGCGGCCGAUGGCAGAUUAGGUAGUUGGUGAGGUAAAGGCUCACCAAGCCUGCGAUCUGUAGCUGGUCUGAGAGGACGACCAGCCACACUGGGACUGAGACACGGCCCAGACUCCUACGGGAGGCAGCAGUGGGGAAUUUUGGACAAUGGGCGCAAGCCUGAUCCAGCAAUGCCGCGUGCAGGAUGAAGGCCUUCGGGUUGUAAACUGCUUUUGUACGGAACGAAACGGUCCUUUCUAAUACAGGGGGCUAAUGACGGUACCGUAAGGAUAAGCACCGGCCAACUACGUGCCAGCCGCCGCGGUAA